RNAcentral lists this ribosomal RNA (769 nucleotides) under Streptomyces prunicolor. RNAcentral describes it as "bacterial SSU rRNA". It matches the Rfam family "Bacterial small subunit ribosomal RNA", at positions 57 to 841 of the family's 1533-position model. The record is from RNAcentral. Lineage: Bacteria; Bacillati; Actinomycetota; Actinomycetes; Kitasatosporales; Streptomycetaceae.
GCGAGUCGAGCGAUGACCACUUCGGUGGGGAUUAGUGGCGAACGGGUGAGUAACACGUGGGCAAUCUGCCCUGCACUCUGGGACAAGCCCUGGAAACGGGGUCUAAUACCGGAUAAGACUCCUGCACUCGUGUGUGGGGGUUAAAAGCUCCGGCGGUGCAGGAUGAGCCCGCGGCCUAUCAGCUUGUUGGUGAGGUAAUGGCUCACCAAGGCGACGACGGGUAGCCGGCCUGAGAGGGCGACGGGCCACACUGGGACUGAGACACGGCCCAGACUCCUACGGGAGGCAGCAGUGGGGAAUAUUGCACAAUGGGCGAAAGCCUGAUGCAGCGACGCCGCGUGAGGGAUGACGGCCUUCGGGUUGUAAACCUCUUUCAGCAGGGAAGAAGCGCAAGUGACGGUACCUGCAGAAGAAGCGCCGGCUAACUACGUGCCAGCAGCCGCGGUAAUACGUAGGGCGCAAGCGUUGUCCGGAAUUAUUGGGCGUAAAGAGCUCGUAGGCGGCUUGUCACGUCGGGUGUGAAAGCCCGGGGCUUAACCCCGGGUCUGCAUUCGAUACGGGCUAGCUAGAGUGUGGUAGGGGAGAUCGGAAUUCCUGGUGUAGCGGUGAAAUGCGCAGAUAUCAGGAGGAACACCGGUGGCGAAGGCGGAUCUCUGGGCCAUUACUGACGCUGAGGAGCGAAAGCGUGGGGAGCGAACAGGAUUAGAUACCCUGGGUAGUCCACGCCGUAAACGGUGGGAACUAGGUGUUGGCGACAUUCCACGUCGUC